AUGGCUAUAUCUUAAUGGGUCAGAGUUAAGGGUGUUUGGUUUGUUUAAUGGACAUGUCUGAAUGGUUCCAUGGCCUCUGACCGAUUCAGAUUUUAAAACAUCGCUGAAUGAGAGCUGAAUGAGAAGUUGACCUAAAUACCCACAAUCACACGUUUCCUCUCACCUGCUCCUCUUCUCCUCUUCUGGCGAUCACGCAAAUCACCACCAUCCAAGCACAUCAAGACUUCGACGAUUCCAAGCAAAUCUUCGCUCAUAACCAGGUUACAAUUAUUUAUGGAUUACGGCGAGAACACUGUGUUUUUAGAUGUACAAGACGGAGAAAGUGAUGGUCAGUUCGUUCACGACAUUGAAUGGGGUUCACAGGGCAUCGAGUAUAAGGCUACUUUGCGUAACCAGAUAGCUAGUCAACUAAUUUGAAAUGAUUAAAAUUAAAAUUGCACGCAAAAUAUUAAUUUGUAUUUAAAAUAUAGUAUAUUUUCAUGGAUUUUGAAGGAUUUAUGUGUAAUUUUGGAUUUUUUUUAUGUUUAUUAUUUUUCUUUUAUAAUUAUUCAUCAUUUUAUUCAGAUUAGCCAAACAGAUAGAUUUAAUUCAACAUAAAAUAGUUCAGAGGGGUAAAGUAGUCAUUGUGCAUAGUCAUUCAGAGGUCCAAC
Molecule: long non-coding RNA, 650 nt
Filed under: Helianthus annuus (common sunflower)
Lineage: Eukaryota; Viridiplantae; Streptophyta; Magnoliopsida; Asterales; Asteraceae
Description: hypothetical non coding rna
Source: RNAcentral